RNAcentral lists this ribosomal RNA (318 nucleotides) under uncultured bacterium. RNAcentral's name for it is "bacterial SSU rRNA". It matches the Rfam family "Bacterial small subunit ribosomal RNA", at positions 28 to 334 of the family's 1533-position model. The record is from RNAcentral.
GAUGAACGCUGGCGGCGUGCCUAAUACAUGCAAGUCGAGCGAAUGGAUUGAGAGCUUGCUCUCAAGAAGUUAGCGGCGGACGGGUGAGUAACACGUGGGUAACCUGCCCAUAAGACUGGGAUAACUCCGGGAAACCGGGGCUAAUACCGGAUAAUAUUUUGAACUGCAUGGUUCGAAAUUGAAAGGCGGCUUCGGCUGUCACUUAUGGAUGGACCCGCGUCGCAUUAGCUAGUUGGUGAGGUAACGGCUCACCAAGGCAACGAUGCGUAGCCGACCUGAGAGGGUGAUCGGCCACACUGGGACUGAGACACGGCCCAG